GUUCCGUCAUAUAUAUCUCGAUCUUUGGCUGGCAGCUAUGACAAUGAAGCUGUAGCUAUAUUUGCUUGAUCUUUACUUUUUACCUCUAUAUAAAGGGAUUGUUGCUGACUACAAAUAUGUUCUUCAAGACACUGAAUACGGGAUCCCUCUUCUAUGCCACUUUGAAUGCCAUAGCAUACUUUUACAUGGAGGCAUACCGAGAUGUUGAAGCAAUUCAGAGUGUGGCCAUACAAGGAGGGACUAUUGUUGCUCUUUUAAUUUUUCACUUAAAUUUGAUUGUAUCGUUGUUUGUUAGUGAAAGAAUCCGUUCACCCCUCUUUGAUGUAAUUGCUUAUUUUGAGAAGAAUAUACAAUCGUCUUCCAAGAGUUGUUGAGGGUAAAUUAGAAACAAUAUGACCAAAAUUUUUGCAUAGGAUCAGAAUUCUAAAGUUUAUUGGCCAUAAAUAGUAUAUUAUUUUAUGAAAAUAG
Molecule: long non-coding RNA, 468 nt
Organism: Corylus avellana
Lineage: Eukaryota; Viridiplantae; Streptophyta; Magnoliopsida; Fagales; Betulaceae
Source: RefSeq, a predicted model, not a curated record